UUGAUCCUGGCUCAGGAUGAACGCUAGCGGCAGGCUUAAUACAUGCAAGUCGAGGGGCAGCGCGGGUAGCAAUACUUGGCGGCGACCGGCAAACGGGUGCGGAACACGUACGCAACCUUCCCAAAACUGGGGAAUAGCCCUCCGAAAGGAGGAUUAAUACCCCGUAACACAAUUAAGAGGCAUCUCUUGAUUGUUAUAGCUCAGGCGGUUUUGGAUGGGCGUGCGGCUGAUUAGGUAGUUGGCGGGGUAACGGCCCACCAAGCCAUCGAUCAGUAACUGGUGUGAGAGCACGGCCAGUCACACGGGCACUGAGACACGGGCCCGACUCCUACGGGAGGCAGCAGUAAGGAAUAUUGGUCAAUGGACGCAAGUCUGAACCAGCCAUGCCGCGUGAAGGAUGAAGGCCCUCUGGGUUGUAAACUUCUUUUAUCUGGGACGAAAAAAGGGGAUUCUUCCUCACUUGACGGUACCAGAGGAAUAAGCACCGGCUAACUCCGUGCCAGCAGCCGCGGUAAUACGGAGGGUGCAAGCGUUAUCCGGAUUCACUGGGUUUAAAGGGUGCGUAGGUGGGCAGGUAAGUCAGUGGUGAAAUCUUCGAGCUUAACUCGGAAACUGCCAUUGAUACUAUCUGUCUUGAAUAUCCUGGAGGUGAGCGGAAUAUGUCAUGUAGCGGUGAAAUGCUUAGAUAUGACAUAGAACACCAACUGCGAAGGCAGCUCACUACGGGAUGAUUGACGCUGAGGCACGAAAGCGUGGGGAUCAAACAGGAUUAGAUACCCUGGUAGUCCACGCCCUAAACGAUGGAUACUCGACAUAUGCGAUACACUGUAUGUGUCUGAGCGAAAGCAUUAAGUAUCCCACCUGGGAAGUACGACCGCAAGG
RNAcentral lists this ribosomal RNA (882 nucleotides) under uncultured bacterium. RNAcentral's name for it is "bacterial SSU rRNA". It matches the Rfam family "Bacterial small subunit ribosomal RNA", at positions 13 to 893 of the family's 1533-position model. The record is from RNAcentral.